CGCCUAACACAUGCAAGCCGAGCGAGACCUUCGGGUCUAGCGGCGGACGGGUUAGUAACGCGUGGGAACGUACCUUUUGCUUCGGAAUAGCCUCGGGAAACUGGGAGUAAUACCGAAUGUGCCCUUUGGGGGAAAGAUUUAUCGGCAAAAGAUCGGCCCGCGUCUGAUUAGAUAGUUGGUGGGGUAAUGGCCUACCAAGUCUGCGAUCAGUAGCUGGUUUGAGAGGAUGAUCAGCAACACUGGGACUGAGACACGGCCCAGACUCCUACGGGAGGCAGCAGUGGGGAAUCUUAGACAAUGGGCGCAAGCCUGAUCUAGCGAUGCCGCGUGAGUGACGAAGGCCUUAGGGUCGUAAAGCUCUUUCGCCAGGGAUGAUAAUGACAGUACCUGGUAAAGAAACCCCGGCUAACUCCGUGCCAGCAGCCGCGGUAAUACGGAGGGGGUUAGCGUUGUUCGGAAUUACUGGGCGUAAAGCGCACGUAGGCGGAUUAGAAAGUUGGGGGUGAAAUCCCAGGGCUCAACCCUGGAACUGCCUCCAAAACUACUAGUCUAGAGUUCGAGAGAGGUGAGUGGAAUUCCGAG
This 582-nucleotide ribosomal RNA is filed under the name uncultured Alphaproteobacteria bacterium. RNAcentral describes it as "bacterial SSU rRNA". It matches the Rfam family "Bacterial small subunit ribosomal RNA", at positions 45 to 673 of the family's 1533-position model. Lineage: Bacteria; Pseudomonadati; Pseudomonadota; Alphaproteobacteria. The record is from RNAcentral.